Molecule: unclassified non-coding RNA, 105 nt
Filed under: Chryseobacterium takakiae
Lineage: Bacteria; Pseudomonadati; Bacteroidota; Flavobacteriia; Flavobacteriales; Weeksellaceae
Description: Flavo-1 RNA
Source: RNAcentral
CCCUAGCCCAGAUUGAAGCAAUUGUCUGAGCUCAUUUUUUAGUUUCCGGCGGCGGCUCCGCCGCCGGAAACUAAAAAAUAGCGAGUGCGGAAAGCUGGAAAAUGC